CACAGCAACCUAUGGUGAAUGCGGAGGUUAGAGUUAACAACAUGGUUGAAGCAAGAGCAGUAGGUGAAGGAAAGUUUUGGAUGAAUGACAAUCGAACGAGUUCUUUGGCCACAGAAGGGAAAUAUUAAGCGGUAGGAAAACUCCGUCAUCAUCUCUGCAGGAUCUUAUUGUGGAGGUGUUGCCAGUGGAGAGACCUGUUCGGGUUAGCUGAUCGGCAUCAGGUCUUGUUACCAAACCGAAAGAUCAAUCGGCAGAAGAACCUGCGAUGGUUAUGUGGCGGCAGCGAUGGAAACAAGCACCUUUGUGCGGCAUCUUCAUCAUGGCAGGGCGAUCAAGUGGGAAUUGGGCCGCGUGUGCUGGAGUUUUAGUUCUGGUAAGAAUCUUUGGGCCUAGCCCAAGACCAAAAAAACAAAAAAUGUGAGUCUAAAAAGUUGCAGGCACCGGUAAACAAUAAUAAAAACCCUAACCUCAAUUCAACACAAUCAGAAUCAGAAUCGUCGACCCCUUCUUUGCUAUCAUACGUUUCGGUGUUCAUCGUUUACAGUGGCUAAGAGUUAUGGCUUCCAACGGAUCUGAAACACCUUCAGCUAAGGUGGAUGAAUGAUGACGGCGAUUACCCUUCAAGUGUGCACUGAGAAGGGAUUUCUGAAGGCUACAUACACUCACGAUGAAAAAAAUGCUAUUGUUGGACUGUAUGGGAUAACUGAUUCAUACGCGAAACUGAUAUCGUUCUACUCGUGCAACGACAAUUCAGUUUGCAUGUAUGAGUUGCGAACGUGGGUGACCAUCAAGCUUGCAUCUAGUUGUCUUGCUAACUUUGUUGUAAUGUUUUUAGAGAGAGCUCACAUGUUUUCACGAACUCUUCUUUAAUGAAGAUGGAACUAAUUUGCUGAAUGCGUGGAAAUGGUUGGAAGAGCAUAAGGUGCCUUCCUCCUAAGCUACAAGUUCUUUUGAGGAGGGGACUACAACAUAUGCUUAUAUAAUAAUAAAGGUACAACAUUGUUGUCUUAAUAAACAGUGUUUAAAUAACCCUCAUUCAUAAUGCGAAUUUCAUAUCACUUAAUUUUUCUAUGUAUAGUAAUAACUCUACAUGUACAAUAUUGAACCCUGCGCAUUAUUGCAAAGCUACCUCAUUUACAUGA
This is a long non-coding RNA of Arachis duranensis, 1142 nucleotides long. RefSeq lists it as uncharacterized. The transcript is spliced from 4 exons. Lineage: Eukaryota; Viridiplantae; Streptophyta; Magnoliopsida; Fabales; Fabaceae. The record is from RefSeq and is a predicted model, not a curated record.